This 8505-nucleotide long non-coding RNA is filed under the name Homo sapiens (human). RNAcentral's name for it is "non-protein coding lnc-ARHGAP9-1:1". The record is from RNAcentral. Lineage: Eukaryota; Metazoa; Chordata; Mammalia; Primates; Hominidae.
CUCCCAAAGUGCUGGGAUUACAGGCAUGAGCCACCGCGCCCGGCCACAGAUCUCUUUUCAUCCUUUUCUUACUCUGUUGAUUUUUAUUUUUUAUUUUGACACAGGGUCUUGCUCUGUUGUCCAGGCUGGAGUAAACUGGCAUGAUCAUGACUCACUGCUGUCUCCACCUCCUGGGCUCAAGGCUCCCAAGUAGCUGGGACUACAGGUACACACCAUCACAUCCAGCUAAUUUUAUUUUUUAAUUUUGUAGAGAUGAGUUCUUCCUGUGUUGCCCAGGCUGGUCUUGAACGCUUGGGCUCAAGCAGUCGUCCUGUCCUGCCUUGGCCUCCCAAAGUGCUGGGAUUGUAGAUGUGAAUUACUGCACCUGGCCCCUGUCCUUUAAAUGUUCAUUUUCCUGAAAGUUUCUGUUGUAUUCUCCCUAUCUCUCGUUCUUAAACCUAGUGGCAUAUGUAUCUCUUGAAGGACUUAUUAAGAUUAUGGCCUACAAAAACUCUUUAUGAUCUGGCCCCUGUCAGCCUUUCUGGCUUUUCCUUAACUACCUGGGAGUUAGCUAGGUGAAGUAUGGGGAAGAAAGUUCUGGGGAGGCACUGCCUACGUAAAUCAUGGAGGUAUAGAGCAAGGUAACAGAGUCUUUGCCAAACUGCACGGAAUGGGAUGAGGCUACAUAUGGGAUUCUUGUGGGAAUUACAGAAAAGACUAGAGAGGUACCUAGGUGCCUGAUAUUGAAGUCCUUAUUUGAUAGGCUAAAAAGUUCGAGUUUUGUCUUAAACUAUGAAAGCUACUGAAGGAUUUACUUUUUAAAAAUAUCUCUUAUAGCAAUUUGGAGACUGGAUUGGAAAAUAGACUGGAAUUAGGGAGUCCAGUUUAGGGAGGAUCACAAUAAUCUAGAUAAGAAAUAGGGUCUAAAGUAGUCAUGCAAGUGCAGAGGGAUAGAUGGACUCAAAAUUUUUUUUUUUUUUUUUUUUUUUUUGCUAGGCGGAGUCUCCCUCUGUCUCCAUAUUUAAUAGAUAGGCUGGGUGUAGUGUCUCACACCUAUAAUCCAGCACUUUGGGAGGCUGAGGUGGGAGGAUCUCUUGAGCCCAGUUCGAGACUAGCCUGGGGCAACUUAGUGAGAACCUGCCUCUAAAGAAAUAUAAGAAAAAUUAGCUGGGCCUGGUGGCACACACCUAUAGUCCCAGCUAUUUGGGAGGCUGAGGUGGGAGGAUUACCUAAACCUGGGAAUCAAGGCUGCAGUAAGCCACAAUCCCACCACAUUGCACUCCAGCCUGAGCAAUAGAGUGAGACCCUGUCUUUUACUACCCUUGAUCUUAGCCAAAAGGCAGAGAAGUGAUGACCCUGUCUUUAAAAAAAAAAAAAAAAAAAAAAGAGCUGGGUGUGGUCGCUUACGCCUGUAAUCCCAGCACUUUGGGAGGCUGAGGUGGGCGGAUCACCUGAGGUCGGGAGUUGGAGACCAGCUUGACCAACAUGGAGAAACCCAUCUCUACUAAAAAUACAAAAUUAGCCGGGAGUGGUUGUGCAUGCCUGUAAUCCCAGCUACUCGGGAGGCUGAGGCAGGAGAAUUGCUUGAAUCUAGUAGGCGGAGGUUGCUGUGAGCCGAGACACCAGCCUGGGCAACAAGAGCAAAACUCUGUCUCAGAAAAAAAAAAAAAAAAAAGAAUCUGUUAGACAUGGAGAUGUGUACAUGCGUGAUUGACAAAGCUACAGAGCAAGAGAGAGGAUAAUAGUGGUAAUGAGAAGGAUGAGCUCUUGGAUGACUUCUAGUUUUCUGGGUUCCAUGCUAAGGUGGAUAGUGACUUCCAUUUAUAAAUUAGGGAAUAUAGGAAGAUGCACGUUUGGGAACAAAAGAUGAGAUGUUUGGUUUUUGAAUGGUUGAAUUUGAGGUACCAGUAAUUAGAGGGAAUGUGCAAGGAAGAGUUUUUUAAGAUGACAAACUCGAGCAUAUUUAUAUAUACAGGAGAAUGAACAAGACAAUACAGAGCCAUGAUAACAGAAUGAAGUUCUUGAGCCUGCAGAGAAGAUGCAAUCUAAAGUAGGGGUAGAAUUAUUAUCCCCUUCAUUAAGAGAAGGAAAAGGUCAGGAAAGGGGUGGGGAGAAAUGUUUGGUAUCUAAACAAAGGAAUUUGAGAGAGUUUCUGCCUUAUGACCUUUAUAUUACUUGUGAUGUAGGAGACUUAUUUUUUUGGGUCAGGGAGCUGAUGUCUUAGCGUAAGGCAGGUUGGUUGAAUAGGGGCCUUGAGAAGAGAGGCAAGUUCGAAUAGCUGUUGAGAGAGUGGGAGAGAUAGCUGCUGAGGGUACUUGUAUGGCUAGGCAGGCAAAGAUAUCAUGGGGUAGUGUAAAGGUGGGGGAGCAUUUCAAGCAGAUACAAUAGCCUGGGCAAAGACCUAGAGGUAUUAAAGAAUAUGGUAUGAGGCUGGGCACGGUGGCUUACACCUGUAAUCCUAGUGCCUUGGGAGGUCAAGGCGGGAGAAUUACAUCAUGUCAGGAGUUUGAAAGCAAUCUGGGCAACAUUGUGAGACACCCACCUCUACCAGAAGUUAAAGCAAUUAGCUGGAUGUGGUGGCAUGCACCUUUUAUCCCAGCUACUUGAGAGAUAGGUGGGAGGAUCACUUGAGCCCAGGAGUUUGAGGUUGCAGUGAGCUAUGACUAAAAAUACAAAAAAUUAGCCAGGCAUGGUGGCACUUGCCUGUAAUCGUAGGUGCUGGGGAGGCUGAGGCACAAGAAUCUCUUGAACCCUGGAGGCGGAGGUUGCAGUGAGCCGAGAUCACUCCACUGUACUCCAGCUUGGGUGACAGAGCAAGAAUCCGUAUCAAAAAAAAAAAAAAAAAGGAAAGGAGAAUAUGGAUGGUAUAUAUGGGGCAGUAUUUUGAAUGACUGAAGAGAAAGAUAUAUUUAGGGCCUGAUUUUAUGGUGGGCUUUACAAGCUAUAUUAAGAAAUUUGGCAUAUAACUAAAUGUUCUGCGCAGAAGUAAUGAGAAUAGAGGAGAGGAAUCAGAGCUGAAAAGAGCAGAUGAAUGUGAGAUGGUUCCAGAAUUUGGAGAUUGUUUAAAUGUGGGAAGAGGGGAGGAAUUGUGGAUGGAUGACGCUCAGGUUUGUGUCUUGGGCAAACUGGGUGGUGUUGCUUACUGAGAUAAGAAAAGGGUAGGUUUGGGAUUAGAGGAAAUGUUGGUAGAGAGUUCACUUUUGGAAAUGUCUAGCAGCUAGUUGUCUAAAUGGAUCUGGAGUGCUAGAGAGAGGCAGGGGUAUUUAGAUUUGGAAGUAGUCUCCACAAGAAGGUUUAAUCUGUGAUAGGGAACAGGGUUACUCAGGGCAAACUUAAGAAAGUGAUAGGAGAGUUGACAUCGAACUUGAGUGUCAGAUAAGGUACUUGGGAUCAUUAGGAGGCUUAAUAAUCAUUUUAGGGUUUGUGUGUGUUAAAGAACCUUACUGACUGGCUAGCUAUAGAGAUAAAAAAUGAACAAUUAAUGAGCAGGAUAUAAUGGAUUAGAUCCUGUGAUGGAAACAAUAUGCAGUAUAAUUUAAUUAAGUCAAUUGCUGAGUACAAACAGAUACAAAAUAAGAGAGAAGUCAAUAUAGAAAGGCAUCGUGGAAGAAGUAGAAAUUGAACUAGGCUUUAAAGAUUAGUAUACAAAAUUCAUUUCAGUAAUCAUCUUUUUUUUUUCAAGCCAAACUCAUCCUUUUAAUCAGUAAUCCACUCCUGAGUUAACUAACCCACUCCCUCAAUAAUAGCAUUAAUCCCCUCAUGAGGGUGGAACUCUCAUGGAUCAUCAUAUUUCAAAUAUAUAUAUAUUUUUUGAGAUUUGCUCUUUUAUGAAACAUUUUACUAUGGAAAAUUUCGUAUGUAUUCAGAAGCAACAAGAGUGGUAUAAGGAAUGUCCAUAUGCAAUUAUCUGCCACAAUAAACAUACAUGUCCAUGUGUCUUUAUAGCAGCAUGAUUUAUAAUCCUUUGGGUAUAUACCCAGUAAUGGGAUGGCUGGGUCAAAUGGUAUUUCUAGUUCUAGAUCCCUGAGGAAUCGCCACACUGGAGUAGACAGUGUUUUUAUAUGUGAAAUAAACAAGAUUCUUUGGCAAGUCAGUGACUUGUCAGUCCAUCAGGAUGAAUCAGCGGAAGUCCUAGGUGAGGUGAGAAUGUCAGCACAGUGAGCCCCUUGCCCUGAGUUUAUCGGGCAUCCCAUUAAGGUAGCUGUCAUAGCUCCUAUUUUAGAGAAGAGUAGGAGUCAUUGUUCAAGAUUUAGCUUACUUUAAAAACUUUCAGGGGGGAAGGUCACUUUUAGUAUAAUGACACCAUUAGAAGUGGCAUGUGGCUGUUUUUCAGAUUACAGCCAUUUUGGUGUGCCCAAGUGUUACCAGUUGUUAGGAUCUUUAAAACUUGUCUUCAGGUGACUAGAGGCUAUGCUGCUUCUCCAAGUAAGUUUUAUUAAUUGUCUUGGGUCCUAGACAAGUUAACUGUAGUUUCUGACUUAUCUAUUGCCUCUAGACUACUCUUUUUAAUGAGUAAAAAAGAGCUGAAGAAUUUCAGGGAAUAGACUGGGUGAUUAAUUUAUGUUAGAAAGUGGUAGGCCAAGAACUGCUCAUACAAAGAGGGAGUUAAUGUAGAGAGGAACAAAAUGCAGGGUUUUUUUAAUUGUAAAUUGACAGUGGGAAUGGAUAUAGAGGGUUCAGGGCAGGGGCAGUGUUAGGGGAAACAUUGUGAGCUGAAGAAAUUGGGAAAGAUGAUAUUAACAGGUGCUGCUGUGGAUUUUGAAUUGGAUCUAAUAUAUUAAGGUUUAAAAUUGCUUUUAACUUGUUUUUUUUUUUCCCCCUCCUCCCCCAGAGGUUAGACUUGUUUCUUAUAUGUGAUGCCAUUCCAGCACUGGACUCAUGGAGGCUGAGCAUUUAUUCAGGUUUUGCUCUGGCUGCUUUUAAGAUUUUCCCUUAGCUGGGUGUGGUGGUUCAUGAAGCCUGUAGUCUCAGCUACUUGGGAGGCCUGAGGUAGGAGGAUCACUUGAGCAUAGGAGUUGCACGAUCUCGGCUCACUGCAACCUCCACCUCCCAGGUUGAAGUGAUUCUCCUGCCUUGGCCUCCCAAAUUGCUGGGAUUACAGGUGCCCACCACCACACCUGGCUAAUUUUUUGUAUUUUUAGUAGAGACAGGAUUUUGCCAUGUUGGCCAGGCUGGUCUCCAACUCCUGACCUCAGGUAAUCCACCCGCCUCAGCCUCCCACAGUGCUGGGAUUACAGGCUUGAGCCACUGGGCCCAGCCGCUCACUUUUUACUAUAGCUCUUUGCACAUGUGGAAUAUAGUGGUAAUAACUUUUCAAGUGUCUUUACAGAUUCUAUAAUUUGUAUCAUUUAUCAGUUUUUUGGAUAUAAUGCUGAAUUCUGGGUGUUAUCAUAUGCUUUUUUUCUAUUCUAAUCUUUUUAUUCUUUGUUAAAAAAUAUGGUCAUGUUUAUAAAAUCACAACUUCUACAUUUAAAGGGUAGGUUGACCAAUUAAAGCAGCCUUUCCAACCUAAGUGCAUCUGGCUAGGUAAUUCUCUCUGAGCUUUAUUAUUUGUUUUAGAGCUUAGAUCAGAGUUUGACAAUGUAGUGUAUAUACUAAGAUUUCUUAAAGAUUUAUCUGUGUAUUCCAAGGUGUGCUUAUCUGUGUAAAAAACUCAGCAAGACAUGGCAUUGCCACAGGCUAUCAAACAUUUGAAAUAUUCCUUUGGAGUUAUUUUCUGGAAUUAGGCCACUUUUCAAUAAUUAGAUGACUUUGAGCUCUUGGAGUCAUCUCCUAGAACCACCUUUGGAAUAGAGCUGUUGCAAGUGGUUACUCAGUAGUUAUUUGCUGCAUGAACGAAUGUCUCUUCAUUGAGUCACUGCAUCAGUCACUUCCCUCCUAACGUUUCAGGGGAUCUUUCCUUUUCCUCCCAUCUCUAUCCUUUUGGUUAUUUUCCUUCUUGUUUGCAUUUCCUCUGGAGGGUAGACCAAGAAGGCAAAGGAGAUGAGUCCAAAACCAUUCUGUUGUUUAUUAGUAACCCUGAUAAGAAAAAAAGUAUUAUAUGAGAAAGGAUUGAAAUAUUUGGUGAAAAUCAGAUUUUGGAGUUAAUGCUGGAUUUCAUUUUUUCAUUCUGUAUCUCCCACUACUAGUUAUGGAUUCGGUUUUUGCUGUUUUUUCUUUUCUUCAAAGCCCUGACCAUCUUUUUUUUCUUUAAUUUAUAGCUAGUGAUGUCCUCUUACAUUUUAUUUUAUUUCUCAUUUUUAUAACUUUUUCCCCCUCCAUAUGGAAGCCUCUUCCAUGUGGAGUCCUAAUUCGGGAAAAGGAGUCAGGCUGGCGGGACCAAGGGAAUGCAAAAAGAGAAAGCAGAUAAGCUGUAACUGCCUUUUAAAAAAAAAAAAUUUUUUUUGUCUGUCUUGAGGCCCCUGCUUCUCUUCUAGCCUUUUCUUUGGUUACUCUGCCACUGUUUUCAUUGUGUUUUCUCCCUCUGUGACCCUGGAAAAUGCUACCAUACACCCAUGAGAGCAUGACAGUGAAAAAGACAAACAGGGUUUUACUACUACUCUGAAAAUGGUUUUGACCAUGUAGUUUCCAUGAAAGUCUUGGGGAUUCCCAGGGGUUCCAGGCCACACUUUGAGAGCUGCUCUUCUGUCUAGUCCCCCAGGUGUCUUCUUAGAUGUCUUCUCUCCCAGUCAUUACACACAUCUCAUAUGUUACUAAGUCUUUUUUUUUUUUUGAAGACGGGGUCCUGCUGUGUUGCCCAUUUUUCACCACUGCUCAUUAAUUGCACUCCAGCCUGGGCAACAAGAGCGAAACUCCGUCUCAAAAUUAAACAACAACAACAAAAAAGGACAAUCUAUGAUAUGUUGUAAAAUCAUUCGGACUUUUGGAUUACUGUUAUUUUGUUUCAGCAGCAGUGGGACAGAGAGAAGCUAUGCCAUAUCCUUCCCUUAGACUAUGCUCAAAGAUAUUAUGUUAUACUGGCUUUUCUGAUGAUAUUUACUUUUUGUUUUUAUAGUUGUUGCAUUGAUGUUACUCAUUUAGGAAAGGUGAAAGAGAAAUCCCUAUGAGAAGCACAAUGUUAAAUCAAGAUUCAUUUUAGUUAUAAAUAUGACCUGGAUAUUUGGAGAUAUCUUGAAAUUCUCUGUUUUGGGGGUUUGGGUUGUGGGGGAUUGGCUUGUUUUGUUUGGGAGUAUUUCUUCUCAUUGGUGACAAGAAAGUUCUUGAGUAAAGGCUAGGAGGAAAACUAUCUGAGGUUACUUAUUUGCCUAAUCCUUCUAUAUUAGAAUUAGGAGAUGUAAAUUAGUCUCCAGAUCACUUGUGUUGCCUUCUUAGUCCCACCGUAGCCAUGACAGACAAAUUCUCAGCCCUCGCCCUGCUGACUGUGUGCAAAGUUAGAGAACAGCCCCCAAAUCCACCCCCCACUUUUGGAACUGCAGAGUUUGGGGGGGUCCGCAAGAUCACCCUCGGGUUCAAUAGUUUACUAGAACGACUCACAGAACUCACUAAAGCUAUUAUACUUACAGUGAAGGGAGACAGACUAAAAUCACCCAAGAGAAGAGAUAUAUGGGCAAAGUCCAGGAGGGUUUCAGAUGCUGAGCUUCCAGUUUUCCUUUCCCAGUGGAGUCAUGGAUAGUGUAACUCCUCCUGUCAGUGGUGUGUGGUAAUACACAUGGAGUAUUGCCAACCAAGGAGGCUACGUAAGCCUUGAUGUCGUGAAUUUUUACUGGGGCUCCAUCACAUAGAUAUAAUUGGCCAAGUGGCUGACCUCAGUCUCCAGCCCUUCCUGAGGUUGAGUUGAUAGUAUGUAACCUAAAGUCCCUACCAUAAAUCAUAUUGGUAGACUUAUCUGUCAUGGCAUUUUUUUUAAAAAGUAGAUCCAAGUUGAUAGAGCUUCCAGGCACCUGAGAGAUGCAAACUCAGAUCAUCCCUGGUGGAAUAUACCUCAACCCUGGCUUCAAAGAAUUCUUAAAGAUAGAUUACCAACAUAUGUGAGCUUAUAAUAGUAACCAAAAAACCAAAAAAAAAAUCACAAAAGAAACACGGUUCUGUGAACCAGCAUCAACAGAAACAACUGAAUCAGACCCAGAGAAACUUUAGGUAUUGGAAUUAUUGAAUAUAGAACAUAAAAUAAAUAUAUUUAAUGAAAUAGAAAAGUAAAUAAAGACCAAGAAUAAGAAAUGAGAGAAUAAAGCAAGACUGGUUGGUUUGUAAAAUAAGCAAUUAAAUUAUUUUAGAAAUAAAAAAAUAAUGAUUGAAAGAAACUCAGUGGAGGGGAACUUACAGUUCUGGUGAUAGCUGCGUAACAGGAAGCUGAUUUAUGCUGCUGUCUUAAGUGAAUAAUUGGACAAAGUAUAUGAAAAAAUGUUUUCAGAUAUUGGACAAAGAGUAGCAUAGAACAGUGAUUCCUGAGAGAAAAUGACAUUCAAACAGGUAGAGUAGUAGUUUGCCUGUUACAUAAUUAGUGAGUAGAAAAUCUGGGAAUUAGUUAUUGUUAGUUUUUGUGCUUUACCUAGAGAAAAUCUCUCAGUGGGGAGAAGUAGAAAGACU